UUGUGCCAACAUAGUAUUUCUGCAAACAUCUGCAGUGUACUAAUUUGUGUCUGAAUUUGUAAUAAAAAAAUUGGUUAUCGAACCAAACCAAACUAAAUAGUUCAGUUUGGGUUCAGUUAUGAAUGUUUUUUAUUUUCUGAGUUCAGUUUGGUUUGGAACUGAACCGUCCGAAUGAUCGCAUGUUCAUUUUGUAGAAGAAACAAGCCUUCAUAUGCAUAAUUGAUUUUCUUUUUGAGUUAUAUUAGUUUCUUGUAAAGAAGAUGAAUGGCAGCGAAAUAAGAGGAGAGAUUGGUGGGAUUAUUGUAUUGUAAAGAAGGAGCUGAUUCUAAAUGCAGAGGAGCAGCUUGAGUCCAAGCCAAAGGCGAUAAUGCGCCUGGGCUGGUUACUUUGUUUCAUCUCUGGCGUCUUGGGAGGAUCAGGAAACUAGUAAGGUGUACACUUAUGUGUAUUUUGUCUGCCAGCAUGGUUCCAUGUUUAAGACAAAAUAUAAGUUUCUGCCAUUAAAGCGUAGUUGAGAAGGCAUUAUGAGGGCCAAAUUGCAGAUUUUGGAAUUGUACAGAAAGAAGAUCUUGAUCUUGUAAGUUAAAUAUGACCUUUAUUAUAUUUUCUUAGGUGUUAAUUUUUCUCAUCUGAACUCGUUAUGUCAAAAUAAUAACGAUUAACGACAAUGUUGCAUGUUAUUGUUCCUCCCAUCAUGUGUCAUUCAAAAAUGAAAAAGCAUCUCAAAAACUAUUACUUGUUGCACUUCUUUAUAACUGAAAUAGCCUGCAGCAAUAUGGCUGUUUGUUGUUAACAUGGUUGUGAUCUGGAAUUUCGAAAAUAUCUAGAAAACCUCAGAGCGAUCUAUUGAAAUGGGAGAGAUAAUUAUUUGGGAGGUUCACUAGUGAAAGAUAACACUUGAUUUUAGUUUGUUGGCAUGUUUUAUCACAUAGUUCAAGUAGUCCCAUGACAAUAAGAACAUGAUGCUUGCACUAAGUAUAAUGUUCAAUUUUUUUGUAUUCCUUGUGUUAGGAGCUCGAUUGUAGUACCUGUUCCACAACAUGAUAUAAUCAAGUUGUUUUUUUUUUUUCUUUUUUGUUCUUAUGCUGUUAUUAUAGGGUUAAUUAUAGUCUAUGGCAUGUCUUUUAGGCCGAAUUAUAUUUUGUAAACUGCAUGGAAAUGUAUUUUCUACAUGAGCAUUGUUGUUUUGAUGUCCGAGAAUAUAUUUUCCACUUGAGCAUCAAAACGGAAAUAUAUUCUCCACUUGAACAUCAAAACAAUGUUUGCACGUAAUUUACAAAAUAAAUAAGAAUAUCCACGUCAGAUUUGCGACUUCCACGUCAAAUACUGCUAUUAUAUUAGCAAAUCGCGCUCAAAGGUUGGGCUGCUUUUUUUGUUCUUAUGCUGCUAUUAUAUCAUGAAAAUAUACUUUGUUCUGAAGUGCUACUCAAAGAUAUCUUUUGAUACUGCUCAACAAUCGAUGCAAUUAACGACAGAUCUUAUUCAUUUUGUUGAAAUAAACUAAGCAAAGUUGGAGGCAUAUGAGUCCAUAUUGAUAGGGAAAAGGUAAUGCCUAUCUUCUUUUAGAAAAAGUCAUAACAAUAAGCUGUGUCUAAAUUUGAAGAUGUUUUGAUUAAUGACCCCAAGAUUUCAUAGAUGUACCUUAUCAUGUUUGCUUUGCUAUUGACAAAGGUAAUUGUUUAUUCUUAUUUGUGAAUAUUCUUUCUUAUUCUCCACGUGAAUCCCAAGUUACAAAUAUAUCCCCAUGUAUAGAAGAUGGAUACUUGUUUAUAAGAAGUUCAAAUCAAUUGAGAUUAUUAUCUUGAGCUGAUGGUAGAAAGACUGGUCAUAUUCAUUGUUUGUAAGGUUAAUCAUGUAUGGUUUCUCAA
Salvia miltiorrhiza (redroot sage) is the source of this 1868-nucleotide long non-coding RNA. RefSeq lists it as uncharacterized. The transcript is spliced from 3 exons. The record is from RefSeq and is a predicted model, not a curated record. Lineage: Eukaryota; Viridiplantae; Streptophyta; Magnoliopsida; Lamiales; Lamiaceae.